Molecule: long non-coding RNA, 1403 nt
Organism: Heterocephalus glaber (naked mole-rat)
Lineage: Eukaryota; Metazoa; Chordata; Mammalia; Rodentia; Bathyergidae
Source: RefSeq, a predicted model, not a curated record
AAACUAAACAUUUGAGUCACCUGUAGAUGCAGGGAUGGCUGAAGCAGUACACAGAGUUGUGGCCUUGCCUGGACUUUUUCGUAGCUCAAAAUAUUUUUUAUGCUGCCAGUCUGCUUUCACCCGUGCAGCGAGACAGAGGACACGUCCUCAGUGCUGUCUACCUGACCUAGUGUGAGCCCACAGACCCUGGCCUCAUCUUCCAGGAGGAAGGACAUCCAGAGGACCUGGAGAUGGUGCAGAGUGGGCAACACAGCUCAUUGGUUGCACAUUUGGGAAGGUUUCUGAGACAGCUUGGGCAGGAGGGAGGAGCCCUGGUCUGCGUAAGCAACUCUGGGCAGCCUUGGGGAGGCCGUGCGGUGAUCACAGACUCUCCGGAGUCUCACUGAGGCUCACCGAGGAUUGCAGAGCGCCCACCGAGUCCUGUGGGCUCACGUGUACACGGGGACAGCUGCCUUCUGCAGCCCCACCGUGAGGACCAAGUUUGACAGUGGACGGAGCACUGGAGGCAUGGCCUGUGGGCACUGGGCAGCCACUUUAUUUCUGGAGAUUGUUUCAUCAGACUGUGGCCUGUUUCCUUCACUUCUUAAAAGACUGCCGUCCCUGAGAACACUGCACCUGUUUAGUUGAUAGCUGUACGGGCCACUCGGCACAAGGCCUCACCAAGUCCUCAGGAGACCUCCUCUUUCACCUACCCUGUGCCACCUGUUUCAGGCUUUUUCUCUCAGGAGGCAGUAAGUAGUCCGUGGUAAGAUUUGGGGAUUAAGAACGUGAGAAUGUUUGUGCGGAUGACAGUGUGAGUGCAUCUACCCUCUCUCACCAGUCAGUCAAUCCUGGGCUUCAUUUCCUGCACUGAGCGAUCCCACCUGGCCUCCUGCAUUGUCCUGGGAGCCUUGCAUAGGUGUCCUCGGCAUAGCAACGUGGUCUGUAUGACAAGCUAGAGAACCUUCCAGCAUGGCGAAGGAGGACAAAGGGGCCACCCUGACUGGACUUUAAGGUGGAAACCACACUGCUGUUCUUCCUGGAGGGAGUGUGUGUCUCUUGGUUGGAGUCGCAGUGUGAUUCUGGCGCGGUCACGUAGACAAACAGGGUCCCGGGCAUAGGCGUGACACCACUGGGAAGCGCGCAGUGCAGCUAAGCUACAAGCAGCACAAGUAUAAGAGGAAGAGAUCUUCCGCUAAAGGAACGUCCUGAGUCACUUCCAGGGUGUUCGCGAGUCCCUUUCAACCCUGACCUUGCUGCCCUUUAUUGCUGGCUUUUCAGCUCUACCUGUCCCCUUGCUGUGGAGUCCUGUCCUUCCCCAUCACCAGAGCCUGCGCAGAGGUCUUUAGAAGAACCCCGGCAGCCGACAUGGGCGAGGAGGACCAGGCCUGCUCAGGGGUUUCACGCUGCUGUGGCAAAGCUGA